AUCGCUUCUCGGCCUUUUGGCUAAGAUCAAGUGUAUUAUACUACAUAAGACCCAGUAUUAUACUAUAUUACAUUAUGUUAUAUUAUAUAUUAUAGACCCAGU
RNAcentral lists this small nuclear RNA (102 nucleotides) under Rhinolophus ferrumequinum (greater horseshoe bat). RNAcentral's name for it is "U2 spliceosomal RNA (ENSRFEG00010000207.1)". It matches the Rfam family "U2 spliceosomal RNA". Rfam says of the family: U2 is a small nuclear RNA (snRNA) component of the spliceosome (involved in pre-mRNA splicing). Lineage: Eukaryota; Metazoa; Chordata; Mammalia; Chiroptera; Rhinolophidae. The record is from Rfam by way of RNAcentral.